Molecule: ribosomal RNA, 460 nt
Filed under: uncultured bacterium
Lineage: Bacteria
Description: partial 16S ribosomal RNA
Rfam family: Bacterial small subunit ribosomal RNA
Source: RNAcentral
CCUACGGGUGGCAGCAGUGAGGAAUAUUGGUCAAUGGACGCAAGUCUGAAGCAGCCAUGCCGCGUGCAGGAAGAAGGCUCUAUGAGUUGUAAACUGCAUUUGUACGGGAGUAAACGCAGAUACGCGUAUCUGUAUGAAAGGAUCGUACGGAUAAGGAACGGCUAACUCCGUGCAAGCAGCCGCGGUAAUACGGAGGAGUCAAGCGUUAUCCGGAUUUAUUGGGUUUAAAGGGUGCGUAGUCGGUCGGAGAAGUUAGAGGUGAAAUCCCGAGGCUCAACUUCGGAAUUGCCUCUGAUACUGAUCGGCUAGAGAGUAGUAGCGGUAGGCGGAAUGUAUGGUGUAGCGGUGAAAUGCUUAGAGAUCAUACAGAACACCGAUGGCGAAGGCAGCUUACCAAGCUACUUCUGACGUUGAGGCACGAAAGCGUGGGGAGCAAACAGGAUUAGAUACCCCGGUAGUC